GCGAAGCGUCUUAACCGGACUUCGAAUCCGUAGGCCGGGGGUUCGAAUCCCUCCAGGCGCGCCA
This 64-nucleotide transfer RNA is filed under the name Desulfosarcina ovata subsp. sediminis. RNAcentral's name for it is "tRNA-Ser". The stretch from base 6 to 61 matches the Rfam family "tRNA". Rfam says of the family: Transfer RNA (tRNA) molecules are approximately 80 nucleotides in length. Their secondary structure includes four short double-helical elements and three loops (D, anti-codon, and T loops). Further hydrogen bonds mediate the characteristic L-shaped molecular structure. tRNAs have two regions of fundamental functional importance: the anti-codon, which is responsible for specific mRNA codon recognition, and the 3' end, to which the tRNAs corresponding amino acid is attached (by aminoacyl-tRNA synthetases). tRNAs cope with the degeneracy of the genetic code in two manners: having more than one tRNA (with a specific anti-codon) for a particular amino acid; and 'wobble' base-pairing, i.e. permitting non-standard base-pairing at the 3rd anti-codon position. The record is from RNAcentral. Lineage: Bacteria; Pseudomonadati; Thermodesulfobacteriota; Desulfobacteria; Desulfobacterales; Desulfosarcinaceae.